Molecule: non-coding RNA, 135 nt
Filed under: Acetobacterium woodii
Lineage: Bacteria; Bacillati; Bacillota; Clostridia; Eubacteriales; Eubacteriaceae
Also listed under: 1 other name
Description: MoCo sequence
Rfam family: Molybdenum/Tungsten riboswitch aptamer (Moco RNA motif)
Source: RNAcentral
AAAACAAAUAAACUCCGAGCAAAAGUGUCUAAGGGAUUAAUUUCUAUGAUGCUGCGCUAAAGCAUUUUAGCUUUCGGGUUAGACUGGAAACGGUAUAGCCUUCCGAUUUUGAAAAGGAGCAUUAAUUACAAAUGU